AGUGAACGCUGGCGGUAGGCCUAACACAUGCAAGUCGAACGGCAGCACAGUAAGAGCUUGCUCUUACGGGUGGCGAGUGGCGGACGGGUGAGGAAUACAUCGGAAUCUACUUUUUCGUGGGGGAUAACGUAGGGAAACUUACGCUAAUACCGCAUACGAUAUAAGGGUGAAAGAAGGGGAUGUUAGGAAAUGGGGGGAUGGAAGGAGGCGAUGUCGGAUUAGCUAGUUGGCGGGGUAAAGGCCCACCAAGGCGACGAUCCGUAGCUGGUCUGAGAGGAUGAUCAGCCACACUGGAACUGAGACACGGUCCAGACUCCUACGGGAGGCAGCAGUGGAGAAUCUUCUACACUUGCCACAAUCCUCAUCCAUCCAUACCACGUUAGUUAAGAAGGCCUUCGGGUUGUAAAGCCCUUUUGUUGGGAAAGAAAAUCAUCAUUUUAAUACCCCACUGUUCUAACUAUCCCCCAAUAAUAACCACCGGCUAACUUCCUG
RNAcentral lists this ribosomal RNA (492 nucleotides) under uncultured bacterium. Its description in RNAcentral is "partial 16S ribosomal RNA". It matches the Rfam family "Bacterial small subunit ribosomal RNA", at positions 29 to 507 of the family's 1533-position model. The record is from RNAcentral.